AAAUGAAAACCAACUCAUAAGAUUACUAGUUAAGACAAGUGCUAGAGUAUGUGUGAAUACACAAUCAGAGCGUAAGUAGCCUAAGUUCAGUCCAGAAAACAAGUAUUAGAUAAACGACACCCGGAGAUGUCCUGCAUUUGUGAUAGUCUGUCAGAACCUCCAAUCGAUCCUCAUGAGCCACCAACGAACAAACUUAUCUAAAACCUGGAGGGGCGCAAAACAGAAAGUGUGAGUGGGCAAAAACAAAGUUUUUCAAGACCAUUUCAUUUUAUCAAAAGCUCUAACUCCUCGCCGUAAAACAUGUAUAACCUUCCCAGAAAUGGAAUAUAAAUAAAUAAAUAUAUUCAAAUCAUGCUUCACAUAUCCAUAUUCAUAAGUAUGUCAUGCCAAAAUAUAAAACAGAAUAAGUAACUCAGAUGAAAAUAAAUUCAUGGAAAAAGAACAUAUUAGUCGAAACCCCUGCAGAAGUCUGUACGGCUGAAUUCAUAGCUCAUUAGUCAAUCUAGACGGAGUCACUGCAAGUGAUCUAUACGGUACUACACUGCACACGAGUCAGAACCACUGUAAAGGUUUGUACGACAAGACUGGGUAUAAUAUAGUUAUGUUCAAUGCUAUGCUCUCAUGAUAGUUGUGCGAUAAAUCACUAGUCACCUACGAGUCGAAACCACCUAUGAUGGUAUGUACGACAAGACUGGGUGUAAUAUAGUUAUGCUCAAUACUACGCUCUCAUGAUAACUGUGCGAAAAAUCACUGGUCACCUACGAGUCGGAACCAUCUAUGAUGGUCUGUACGACAAGACUGUGCACCUAAAUUGGAUCCAAUGUGAACAUAUGGUGCGGGAGGUGACAUUAUAUACAGGCAUGUGCCAUAUCUCUGGCUAAAUCACUAACAUCGGGGUGCAGGUUUAUGAGCUCAAUGUUUCUUAAUUAAUCACAACCGUUAUUCACAUUCACAAUCAUAAACUCACCUGAGGCUUACCUGAGCGUCCACAACACCACAAUUAUAUAUAUAUAUAUAUUAUGCAAACAUCAUAUGCAUAUUCUAAAUGUAAAACAUUUGGCAUGUCAAUUUAAAUCAUAACUCAUUUAAAUGCAUUUUUUGGGAAAGAUACCAAACAUAUACAUAUAUACUUAAAACCAAAAGUCCAAUCACUGGUAUGUCGAAGGGUCGUAGCCCCCGAGCCGCCCUUGAUUGCGCUUGUCCUCAGGAUAGGUCUCACAUAUAUGCGAAAUAACUGAAUAAAUGUUAUUUAAAGCACAUAGAAAAAACUAGUUAAUAACUUCUCAUAUAUUGCUCAAAUGAGAUGUUUGAAUAUACCAACAUGAUCUACACAACCUCACGAACAUCCCCAUAUUUUUAGAAAAAUUUUCCAACCACCCACGCGUCGGCCAAGGCAUGGCCAGACGCGCAGCCCACGGGCGGUCACCUGCCAGGCACACUGACGGUAACCCUAAUGGUGUUAGGGAAUAUUCCGUUAAAUAAUAGCAUAUACCGUUAAAACUAACAUGACGCCAUUAGAAUAUUCCAUCAAACUUGAUGGUAUAUUCUCUGUCUUCUUCCUUUGAACUCCGAUGACCGUCGCCGUCGCCACAAAACUGGGAAAUUUUCAAACCUUAAUAUCUCAGUCCAUACACAACCAAAAUCUAUGAAAUUUGUACCAAAAUGAAGCUUAGGACUAGAAGAACACGAUCUUACCAAUUUCAAGCUCCAAAAAUCACGGGAUCUCGCCGGAUAAAGCACAAUAAUUCCGGUCAAAUUUCAAACUCGACUUCCCGACAUCCAAAACACCUCGUUUUUCUUCUCCGAGCUUCGUGAAGACGUUCUAAAGCUUCCUAGCAACUUUAAAACUUCUAAAAACCUCACAUUCACGAGUGCAUGAACAAUGCUCAAAUCGGAGAUUAUGGUUUCUCGGGUUUUUUCGAGGUUUCACGUCCAAAUAAUAGUAUCACUGGGUUCCUGGGCUCGCAAGAAACUUGAAAAUGGUCUCCAUAACCUCGAUCCGUGAAGAAAUGGUUUGGUUGAGGUUCGUCCAUACGUAUGAUAUGAAAAUGGAGAGAAACCGAUAGGGAAGAGAGAGAAAGAGAGGGUGAACAGGAGAAAGAGAGGUAGAGUGUGUGUGUGUGUGGUCCUAAUCCUCUUACAAGCAACCAAAACAAUUAGAACCUUUAUUUCUAAUUGGGUCCAAAAGGUUAGGAAGAAAGUAAUUGGUCCACAACACAACUUAAACCACAUAACACCACAAAUGUCUAAGGAUAUUUUAGGCAAUUCACACCAUCGAAAAUUAUAUUUCGGGACGGCCUGUCACAUGACAGGUUCGAACAAUUUAGAUAAGAAUAAAAUUGGCAUUUUGGGGUAUAUUAUUAAUUUUCUAUUAGUUACACCAAGAACAAAUCUUGCUCAAUUAUUAAUUAAAACAGAAGCAAAAGUUUAUGAAAUUAGGUAUUGGUCCUCUAACAAAGAUAAAAAAUUCAGUUGAAGUGGAAAUAUAUAUAUUUUUUAAUCAGUGGAAGUAUAUAUAUAUAUUGAAAAUUGGUCCUUUACUGUGAGCAUGUUAUGAAAAUACUAUAAUAUUUGCAAAUUUUUUUUAUA
RNAcentral lists this long non-coding RNA (2589 nucleotides) under Malus domestica (apple). Its description in RNAcentral is "long non-coding RNA (MDOM_LNC011847)". The record is from RNAcentral. Lineage: Eukaryota; Viridiplantae; Streptophyta; Magnoliopsida; Rosales; Rosaceae.